RNAcentral lists this ribosomal RNA (1243 nucleotides) under Chara tomentosa. Its description in RNAcentral is "eukaryotic LSU rRNA". It matches the Rfam family "Eukaryotic large subunit ribosomal RNA", at positions 56 to 1119 of the family's 3401-position model. The record is from RNAcentral. Lineage: Eukaryota; Viridiplantae; Streptophyta; Charophyceae; Charales; Characeae.
GAANAACUAACAAGGAUUCCCCUAGUAACGGCGAGUGAAGCGGGAAGAGCUCAAACUUAAAAUCUCCGUUGCUCGCAACGGCGAAUUGUAGUCUCGAGAAGCGUUUUCAAGGCGGAUGCACUGUGCUUAAGUUGCUUGGAACGGCACAUCGUAGAGGGUGACAAUCCCGUAGGUGGCACAGUGUACUGUUGACGAUGCGCUUUCCAUGAGUCGGGUUGAUUGGGAAUUCAGCCCAAAAUGGGAGGUAAACUCCUUCUAAAGCUAAAUAUUGGCACGAGACCGAUAGCGAACAAGUACCGUGAGGGAAAGAUGAAAAGCACUUUGAAAAGAAAGUUAAUAGUACGUGAAACCGUUAGUAGGGAAGCGCAUGGAAUUAGCAAUGCACUGUCGAGAUUCAGGCAGUUGCGUGCUGGCACGGAUGUUGUACAGAUCUGAAUGGACUGUCUGCGCUCGUCGUCGGCUCGCUUCUGUCGCAUUUCCCGGCUGUGUGCGUCAACAGCUGUUCGGACCGGGCGACGAGCCCCAAGUGAAGGUGACUUGCUUCGGCAGGUGUUAUAGCUCUUGGUGUGCGAGCUCGGACUGGACAGAGGAGGAGUCGCGCGGCACAUGCUCUUUUGGGCUGGCCUCUCUUGUCACUGUUGGUCGUCGAGCAUGGCGGACUGCGUGCAGUGCGUCAGAACUGCUGCCGGCUGUUGGUGGGAUGAGUGCACACACUGUGCCAAGGUUGUUGGCGGUCAUAUGAUUUUAUGCGACCCGUCUUGAAACACGGACCAAGGAGUCUAACAUGUGUGCGAGUCUUUGGGUGAUUGAAACCCGCAGGCACAAUGAAAGUAAAGGUUGCUUGCAGCCGAAGUGGGAUCCGUCCUCCUCGGGGGCGGCGCAUCAUUGACCGACCUAUUCUACUCCUAGAAAGGUUUGAGUAAGAGCACAUCUGUUGGGACCCGAAAGAUGGUGAACUAUGCUUGAGUAGGGUGAAGCCAGAGGAAACUCUGGUGGAGGCUCGUAGCGAUUCUGACGUGCAAAUCGAUCGUCAAACUUGAGUAUAGGGGCGAAAGACUAAUCGAACCAUCUAGUAGCUGGUUCCCUCCGAAGUUUCCCUUAGGAUAGCUGGAACUCGGAACAGUUUUAUCAGGUAAAGCGAAUGAUUAGAGGUCUUAGGGUUGAAACAACCUUAACCUAUUCUCAAACUUUAAAUUGGUAAGAAGCCCGACUUGCUUAAUUGAAGUAGGGCACAGAAUGAGAG